AAAAAAGAAGCAAAAAGCUCCGAUGCCGGGAAUCGAACCC
Molecule: small RNA, 40 nt
Filed under: Arabidopsis thaliana (thale cress)
Lineage: Eukaryota; Viridiplantae; Streptophyta; Magnoliopsida; Brassicales; Brassicaceae
Description: ATSL307920
Source: RNAcentral